AGACGGUGGCUCCGGUGGCUUCAUCAUUUCCAGAUCAAUUCCUGGCCGUGUGAUCUCUUUUCCAGAUCUAAUUUGGACGUUCCAUUGUUAUGACUUUUUAUACUGCCUCGUGUGUCUCAAUUGACUAAGGCAUAGGAUACACGCGCGCUGAGAGCCCUUGGAUUUGCCAAGUCAUUUAAUGAAAUGAAUCCAACGCGUGUUUUUUUUUCUUUUUUUUGAUUUAAUCCAUUUUAUUUUCUUAAUUCGAUUUUAUUUCAAAUAAUCAUAACUCUCUCAGUUUUAAUCCAAAAAUUAUGGGACCAAUUGCAUUAGUCUCC
RNAcentral lists this long non-coding RNA (317 nucleotides) under Lathyrus oleraceus (garden pea). RNAcentral describes it as "Pisum sativum (pea) long non-coding RNA (PSAT_LNC020868)". The record is from RNAcentral. Lineage: Eukaryota; Viridiplantae; Streptophyta; Magnoliopsida; Fabales; Fabaceae.